CCGAGUUCGGGGUUUUCCCCAACUCCCACCCUUGGUUACCUCACGUUGCUUCGGCGAGACGUUGGAAGCAGCCAUCGGCAAUUCAUACAGAUGCGCCGAUGAGUGCUCGCCGGACUCCAAAUACUCAUAGACUAUGUACAGUCAGAUGAAAACAAGCAAUAUAUAA
RNAcentral lists this unclassified non-coding RNA (166 nucleotides) under uncultured fungus. RNAcentral's name for it is "sequence contains ITS1, 5.8S rRNA gene". Lineage: Eukaryota; Fungi. The record is from RNAcentral.